CCACCCUUCGAGCCAGGGACGGCUUUUUGUGAAGUUUGGCCCGGGCCACCGGGGCCAGGGCCGGCUUUAGGCUGUUUGGGGCCUUUGGAGGAGUCUUUCGGUGAUAAGUCGGUGGUUGCAGGUUUGCGGUAAGUUCCGGGACGGCCUAAAUUAAUUUCAAAUGGUACUCAAUCAAAAUGAUUAUUUAUUUAUGAGCAAACGUUUCUAUUAUAAAAGAAUAAAGGUUUGAAAUCAUUGCCAAAUCGGGAUGGUGAUGCAAUAAUUGCAAAUCUGACCGUAAAUGGCCAUACAAAUCAUAAGCUGUAAAACGAAUUACUCUUCGACCUUAAUUUAGUUAAUCAUCCGUACCGUCACGCCAUACAAGAGCCACCGGUAAAAAUAAAUCCUAUUUACAUUUAAAAUAGAAAUGAAAAAAUAACUCGAAAAUUCCGAAUUCCAGCCGUAUGAGUGAUUGUUGUCUCAACACUUUAGUCAUUGUAAUAUAAAAAUAAUCCUCGUGACGUGUUUUUGAGACACCCAAAAAGCGCCCGAUGCACAAUACGUGUCGCAUAAAAAUAAUAAAUGAUCAAAAACACGAAUUUCAAAAAUUAGCACACGUGUAUACAAUUUAACGUUUAUACAAUUUGAGAACAGGUGUAUUUUCGUAAAAGUUGGCACAUACGGCUCAUUACUGCCAAUCUUGAUCAAGCCGAGUUGUUUUGACCCACUUUCGUGCGAAAUGAUCAAAAAAUGCGAUUUUUUUUCAAAUGAGAAUAGUCAAAAAUGAUGUAGUUUUGGAGCGGUGGCUAUUUCCGUCGGAAAAAUGACUCAUAAGCUCACGCAUAGUACGCACCCCCUACUACGGGUCCCACGUGAGGUGCUUUUCUCGGCACUCAAACAUGUGCAGUGCUCGAGUGAAGACGUGUUAGUUAAAGCCGCGAAAAUUCGCCCCAAACGGGCGAAUUUUCGCGGGUUUUGCUUGACCGGGGUGAAGGGUUUUGUGGUUGCAAGUGACCGAAAAAAGGGAGUUGGAGCUGGGCCAGGCAGGUGUAAAUUUUGAAUUUUGAAUAAAGUUUUUUGUCAGAA
This is a long non-coding RNA of Tribolium castaneum (red flour beetle), 1065 nucleotides long. RefSeq lists it as uncharacterized. The transcript is spliced from 2 exons. The record is from RefSeq and is a predicted model, not a curated record. Lineage: Eukaryota; Metazoa; Arthropoda; Insecta; Coleoptera; Tenebrionidae.